Alosa sapidissima (American shad) is the source of this 570-nucleotide long non-coding RNA. RefSeq lists it as uncharacterized. The record is from RefSeq and is a predicted model, not a curated record. Lineage: Eukaryota; Metazoa; Chordata; Actinopteri; Clupeiformes; Clupeidae. The transcript is spliced from 2 exons.
UUCCACCAUUGAUAUUAGAGGGGGAAUUAAACCUGGUGUUCUACUAAGUUAGUGCUAUGAAGCUUAGGCUACAUGAUUGAUAUUAUGCCUUGGUUUAUGCGAUAGAUUUAGAUUUUUUUAAAUUAUUUGUGUUUGACAGAACAUUCAAGUUCAUUUCAUAGUAGUGUUUGUAAUUUACCUAGUUUUAAUCUGUAGCCUAACUAUGUUUUUACAGGUGUUCCUGGACAGUUUUGAAACCGAGAUGUCUGAACGCCUCAAAUAAUCAGCAGUAAAGACAACAGAGACAAAUUCUCUAAUACCAAGGUCAAUGCAUUUGACUGCUGUCCAGCCCCGGGUUGCCACCGAAAACUUUAUGCAUCUUGGACUGGAAGAUGGUUUGCUAGUAAGGAAGCUAGCUACCACAGCCUUUGCCACCACAUCUCAGUGUUGGGAGGGAAGUUCACUCACUGCACAACUCUACCAGCUGUACCUUUCCUCCUCAGCCAUGAUCUGUAACCACCAUGGUUUUCUUUCUGGGCCAGAAGACUUUGCAAACAAAUAAGCAAUAAAUGAUCAUGCAUUACAAAUUUA